AUAUUUUAGGUCAGAUUCUUGUACUUCCCAUUUUUAAACAACUGCCAAGCAUUUGUUUUUAUAUCUCCUAGACAUCUGUGCUAUUGGUGAGUACUAUUUCUAGCUAUUGACUGUCCUAAAAUAAAGGUAACAUUUCUGGGUGAUUUAUAGUCUAUCAUUAUUACAGUGCAGCCUCUGAAUGCAUGAACUAGAGAUUUACUGCACGCUUGUGUCUUAUCCCCGACUCGUGUAAUAGAGAAAAGGUAAAAUGUCUUGGCUUCGUGAUGGCUCCCUUCUUCAAGCAGCUGUCUUUUUUGGUGUGGUGCUUGCAGCUUGAUUAAACUACAUCGAGAAGGUCACUUGGAAUUCAUUUUGUCUACAUCCUGGACUGCACGUAGGGAGACAAAAAAAAACCGCCUGGGAUUGGAGAGGAGGAAUGUGGCAGGGCAUGGGAAUCGCAGUGUCCUGGUGGUCACCGAGCAUAUUUUGGCUUGUCUUAAAACAAGCAAGCACCGUUGGACCUUUGGAAUCCUAACAAGUGAAGAAAUAUUAUUUCCUUCCUGACUCGCUGAAAAUUCAAGUAGAGAAGACCGUGAAGAAUCUGGGCAAUAUUUCUCAUAUUUAGUUCUGUAAGAUUUUAUUUAGUUGUGCUCUGACCCUGGGUACUCUUGAGAGCUAAGAGAUAUAGAAAAUGUCUUUUGGAGUUUGAGAACCGGGGUUCAAAAUCCUAAUCCUGUCUCCUUUUAUCCAUAGGAUUUGGGCAAGUUACUUAAGGUCUAUCACCAUUUUCUUACCUGUAAAAUGGACUUAAUAAUAGUAUCUACCUGAAAGCAUUAUUGGAAGGAGUAAAUGAAUACUUCAUCUAUAGAACAAUGUCUGUCACAAGAUAAGAAAUUUCAUUCUUAUUAUAGCCCCAUCAGUUGAUAUGUAUUACAGCAUCUAGGACUCUGAUAUGUAAAUUUUACUUAGACACUUUUAUUCCUUUGUAUGUUUUUAAGAGUAAUGCCUGGAGACACUUUUCAUCUUAAUGUAACAUCACAGUGUUUCAUUCAAAGUUACUCCAUAAACAUUUGUGAA
RNAcentral lists this long non-coding RNA (1056 nucleotides) under Felis catus (domestic cat). Its description in RNAcentral is "lncRNA (ENSFCAG00000047856.1)". Lineage: Eukaryota; Metazoa; Chordata; Mammalia; Carnivora; Felidae. The record is from RNAcentral.